RNAcentral lists this ribosomal RNA (468 nucleotides) under uncultured bacterium. RNAcentral describes it as "partial 16S ribosomal RNA". It matches the Rfam family "Bacterial small subunit ribosomal RNA", at positions 28 to 507 of the family's 1533-position model. The record is from RNAcentral.
GACGAACGCUGGCGGCGUGCUUAACACAUGCAAGUCGAACGGAAAGGCCCUGCUUUCUCGGGGUGUCAGAGGGGGAAGGGGGUGUGAAACCCGGGAGUAUCCUUCCUUGGAGUUGGGAAUAUCUUCAGAAAGCCGGGACUAACACAGACUAGGAGCUCCUGAUACUGGGUGGGGUUCGGAACUUUUCGGCGGAGGGGGAUGGACUCGGGGCUAAUUAGCUGGUUGGGUGGGGAGUGGCUAACCAGGCGAUUGGCGGGUAGCCGGCAUGGGAGGUUAACCGGCCACAUUGGGACUGAGAGACGGCCCAGACUCCUACGGGAGGCAGCAGUGGGGAAUAUUGCACAAUGGGCGGAAGCCUGAUGCAGCAACGCCGCGAGCGGGAUGACGGCUUUCUGGUUGUAAACCGCUUUCGCCUGUGACGAAGCGUGAGUGACGGUAAUGGGUAAAGAAGCACCGGCUAACUACGUG